RNAcentral lists this transfer RNA (73 nucleotides) under Candidatus Kaiserbacteria bacterium. RNAcentral describes it as "tRNA-Val". It matches the Rfam family "tRNA". From Rfam's summary of the family: Transfer RNA (tRNA) molecules are approximately 80 nucleotides in length. Their secondary structure includes four short double-helical elements and three loops (D, anti-codon, and T loops). The record is from RNAcentral. Lineage: Bacteria; Candidatus Kaiseribacteriota. RNAcentral also lists the same sequence under 2 other names.
GACCGAUUAGCUCAGCUGGUAGAGCGCUACAUUGACAUUGUAGAGGCCACAAGUUCAAGUCUUGUAUCGGUCA